RNAcentral lists this ribosomal RNA (440 nucleotides) under uncultured bacterium. Its description in RNAcentral is "bacterial SSU rRNA". It matches the Rfam family "Bacterial small subunit ribosomal RNA", at positions 339 to 796 of the family's 1533-position model. The record is from RNAcentral.
CUACGGGAGGCAGCAGUGGGGAAUAUUGGACAAUGGGCGAAAGCCUGAUCCAGCAAUGCCGCGUGAGUGAUGAAGGCCUUAGGGUUGUAAAGCUCUUUUACCCGGGAUGAUAAUGACAGUACCGGGAGAUUAAGCUCCGGCUAACUCCGUGCCAGCAGCCGCGGUAAUACGGAGGGAGCUAGCGUUGUUCGGAAUUACUGGGCGUAAAGCGCGCGUAGGCGGCUAUUCAAGUCAGAGGUGAAAGCCCGGGGCUCAACCCCGGAACUGCCUUUGAAACUAGAUAGCUAGAAUCUUGGAGAGGUCAGUGGAAUUCCGAGUGUAGAGGUGAAAUUCGUAGAUAUUCGGAAGAACACCAGUGGCGAAGGCGACUGACUGGACAAGUAUUGACGCUGAGGAGCGAAAGCGUGGGGAGCGAACAGGAUUAGAAACCCUGGUAGUCC